UUGUGUCCGCUAAGGUGGAACCUUGACGGAAGGACAUUAAAAGAAAAAACUACAAGUUUUUUUUAUAUCCCAUUGCUUUUACCUACCCUAUUGCUUCCACUGGACAUGUUUUUCCUUUUGUGUGAGAACCUUUGGCUUGUGUGAAUAACUCAGGCCAGAGAGUUGCCAGUGGUAAGACCAAUCUAUCAAAACUUGAUUUGAAACAAAUUGUCUGAAUCUUUUGCUUCAAUGAAAUAAAACUUUCAACAACGGAUCUCUAGGCUCUUGCAUCGAUGAAGAACGCAGUGAAAUGCGAUAAGUAAUGUGAAUUGCAGAAUCUCGUGAAUCAUCGAAUCUUUGAACGCACAUUGCGCCCUAUGGUAUUCCGUAGGGCAUGCCUGUCUGAGCGUCAGCUCCCUUCUACUCAAGUAUUCUUUUGCAAAUACUUGGAUAACUUUGGAGAGGUGACUUAUAAUAAAGAGUUGUCCUUCAGAAAUUCAUAGGCAGUAUGGUUUGUUCUUGAAUCAGACGUAAUAAUAAUAAAGUCGUUUGUUUGAGUAUAAUUGUGCUUGCCUUAACUCACUCAUUUAUAUCCUGGGUGACCUCAGAUCAGGUAGGGAUACCCGCUGAACUUAAGCAUAUCAAAUAAGCGGGAGGGAAAUA
This 642-nucleotide ribosomal RNA is filed under the name Tirmania nivea. RNAcentral's name for it is "eukaryotic LSU rRNA". The stretch from base 238 to 391 matches the Rfam family "5.8S ribosomal RNA". The record is from RNAcentral. Lineage: Eukaryota; Fungi; Ascomycota; Pezizomycetes; Pezizales; Pezizaceae.